CCUACGGGAGGCAGCAGUAGGGAAUCUUCCACAAUGGGCGAAAGCCUGAUGGAGCAACGCCGCGUGGGUGAAGAAGGUCUUCGGAUCGUAAAACCCUGUUGUUAGAGAAGAAAGUGCGUGAGAGUAACUGUUCACGUUUCGACGGUAUCUAACCAGAAAGCCACGGCUAACUACGUGCCAGCAGCCGCGGUAAUACGUAGGUGGCAAGCGUUAUCCGGAUUUAUUGGGCGUAAAGGGAACGCAGGCGGUCUUUUAAGUCUGAUGUGAAAGCCUUCGGCUUAACCGGAGUAGUGCAUUGGAAACUGGGAGACUGGAGGGCAGAAGCGGAGAGUGGAACUCCAUGUGUAGCGGUGAAAUGCGUAGAUAUAUGGAAGAACACCAGUGGCGAAAGCGGCUCUCUGGUCUGUAACUGACGCUGAGGUUCGAAAGCGUGGGUAGCAAACAGGAUUAGAUACCCUAGUAGUC
Molecule: ribosomal RNA, 465 nt
Filed under: uncultured bacterium
Lineage: Bacteria
Description: partial 16S ribosomal RNA
Rfam family: Bacterial small subunit ribosomal RNA
Source: RNAcentral